Limulus polyphemus (Atlantic horseshoe crab) is the source of this 619-nucleotide long non-coding RNA. RefSeq lists it as uncharacterized. NCBI's taxonomy places the organism in Eukaryota, Metazoa, Arthropoda, Merostomata, Xiphosura, Limulidae. The record is from RefSeq and is a predicted model, not a curated record. The transcript has 3 exons.
AAAUUUAUUCGUAAUUAAGGGAUCUAUUUCUGUUUGCCAGGGGUAAAGUAAAUCCGAGAUAUUAACGGAUUUUGAUCAGUUAAAUUGAGGAUAACUCUUCAGAUAUUAGUUAGAGAUAUAUCUCCAGGCCUUUUAACGGAAUUCUUACUAUUACAGUAAAGAUAUUUCGGUUUGCAGGUAACCACAGCAUUUCAAAACUGCUUUUCUGGAGACUCUCCAAUAACCAGGACCAGCAGAAGUGAUCACUUGGAGAGAAUAGUAUCCACGGUCUGCCUCAAAUCGACUUUUGUCCCUCAGUGGCUGGAGGAACAUCGGAAAGCCCCUCUGCCCCUGACAACAGUGAUUAGUUUGGCUGCUUUGGGGCGAAUGGCGUGCGUUAUAGGGGAAGUUCAGCGCCCUCUACCGACGUGGGAAUUAGCUUUUUCGAAAUGUUUUCCUCCUGAAGAUGACGUAACAGAAUCCGAGUCUCGGUAAGUGAGUAAAACGUUUGAAAUAAGUUUAAGCAACAAUGCUAUAAAAACUGGCGCUGCCGGAUAUCCCUCUCUUGCUGUACAGAGAUAAGUAGUGUGAUAUUUAACAUAAUUUGAUCAAUUUGUAACUUAGAUGAUAAAUUAACGAG